RNAcentral lists this ribosomal RNA (419 nucleotides) under Escherichia coli. Its description in RNAcentral is "partial 23S ribosomal RNA". It matches the Rfam family "Bacterial large subunit ribosomal RNA", at positions 106 to 565 of the family's 2925-position model. The record is from RNAcentral. Lineage: Bacteria; Pseudomonadati; Pseudomonadota; Gammaproteobacteria; Enterobacterales; Enterobacteriaceae.
GGCGAUUUCCGAAUGGGGAAACCCAGUGUGAUUCGUCACACUAUCAUUAACUGAAUCCAUAGGUUAAUGAGGCGAACCGGGGGAACUGAAACAUCUAAGUACCCCGAGGAAAAGAAAUCAACCGAGAUUCCCCCAGUAGCGGCGAGCGAACGGGGAGCAGCCCAGAGCCUGAAUCAGUGUGUGUGUUAGUGGAAGCGUCUGGAAAGGCGCGCGAUACAGGGUGACAGCCCCGUACACAAAAAUGCACAUGCUGUGAGCUCGAUGAGUAGGGCGGGACACGUGGUAUCCUGUCUGAAUAUGGGGGGACCAUCCUCCAAGGCUAAAUACUCCUGACUGACCGAUAGUGAACCAGUACCGUGAGGGAAAGGCGAAAAGAACCCCGGCGAGGGGAGUGAAAAAGAACCUGAAACCGUGUACGU